ACUUUAUUUUACCCUAGUUUCAGCAUUUCCACACCAUUUUCAUCAUGUUGGUCACAUAGGAAAAAGACCGUGAUAGAAUAAUAGUAGAGAAUGUUAGUUUAACAACAAAGAAUGCACUCAAUAGUAUGGGAUUUUAGUUUAAAAUGACUAAAAUUCAUUGGCGAAGUUAUUUGGCCAAUAACUUCGCCAUGCAACCCAUUUCUGUUCAAGUCUGAAGUGUCAAGUGAAUGAUAAAAGCUUAUUCUUUCAAUGUUAUACUUCGGUUUUGGCCACAGAUCAAGUAAAUUAAUAGAUUAUAAUGUAGUAAUCUCACACAACCUUUUCUAAGUUUAAAUGGGAUGUCUGUAGGUUAUAAUAAAAAACACUUGUUGACUUUACAUGACUCAUAGCUCGAUGAACAUGACUCGAUAGUUAGAUGAAGUGACUUGAAUGCUCUGGUUAAGAUUAAGAUUGGUACUCCCAUUAUGACGCAUGUAUAUGAACUAUGUAAGCCUAUUGCAUGCUGUUACGAGCGAAAACAUAAAAAUGUACUCCUUCAUUUUAGUUAACCCAUUAAGCCAGCUCAGCCAAAUAGUUGCCAAACCAUAAGGGAAGUUACAAAUUGAAAUGCGUUGUUGGUUACAAAAGUUUAAAAUACCUUUAUGAUAACCCUGUUCCUUGAGGUACUGCAUCUAUCGAUAUAUUGAUGAUUUCGCAGAUGGAGCAGUUUUGACGAAUUUGAAGCCAUCUCUGAUUUCAGCAAGCGGAUUCGGUUCACGUCAUUUUAAUCAACAUUGAAACGGUCAUCGGUCAGAUAUGCUUCUUCAAACUAUCUUGUCACCUACAAAAGACAGAACGCAUAUUCCGCGAAGACGGAGAUUAGGAGCUGCAGCUAACAGCUGUACUGGUGGCUUUUGAUCUGUUAAAAGAUUUCCUUAAUCCUGAAAAUUGCCGGGAUACAAAGUCAAAAAUCUCAUCAUUGACGAAAAUUCCUUCCAUACCUAGGAACUCACUAUAUGAUGCCCAUUGAUGACGCACCAGCGAAAAACGUGUUUUACGUCGAGUGAGUGCCGUGUUUACCAAUGUUCUGAGCGCAAAGGUCACCGGCAGCCGUUUCCAAGCACAGUACAUAGUCACAUGUGUAACAUACCAGAGGAAUUAUUUGAAGUAACUAGCUGUGAAAAAAUUUAACGCUGUUAUACUCGGUUCAUAUGGUGAUACAUCUCUUUAAAAAAUUUGCAAAGCUCCACUAGUUUACCUACGGUAAUGCACUCCAAAUUGUUUCCACUGGCAAGGAUGGCCGACAUUCAGUUUUGUAAUGCUCCCGUACUUUCUAUACUUGUUUGACUUUCAC
Molecule: long non-coding RNA, 1333 nt
Organism: Daphnia carinata
Lineage: Eukaryota; Metazoa; Arthropoda; Branchiopoda; Diplostraca; Daphniidae
Exons: 3
Source: RefSeq, a predicted model, not a curated record